RNAcentral lists this ribosomal RNA (500 nucleotides) under uncultured bacterium. Its description in RNAcentral is "bacterial SSU rRNA". It matches the Rfam family "Bacterial small subunit ribosomal RNA", at positions 1011 to 1509 of the family's 1533-position model. The record is from RNAcentral.
UCUUCCCCUUCGGGGGACAAAGUGACAGGUGGUGCAUGGUUGUCGUCAGCUCGUGUCGUGAGAUGUUGGGUUAAGUCCCGCAACGAGCGCAACCCUUAAGCCUAGUUGCCAGCAUUAAGUUGGGCACUCUAAGUUGACUGCCGGUGACAAACCGGAGGAAGGUGGGGAUGACGUCAAAUCAUCAUGCCCCUUAUGAUUUGGGCUACACACGUGCUACAAUGGACAAUACAAAGGGCAGCUAAACCGCGAGGUCAUGCAAAUCCCAUAAAGUUGUUCUCAGUUCGGAUUGUAGUCUGCAACUCGACUACAUGAAGCUGGAAUCGCUAGUAAUCGUAGAUCAGCAUGCUACGGUGAAUACGUUCCCGGGUCUUGUACACACCGCCCGUCACACCACGAGAGUCUGUAACACCCGAAGCCGGUGGAGUAACCAUUUAUGGAGCUAGCCGUCGAAGGUGGGACAAAUGAUUGGGGUGAAGUCGUAACAAGGUAGCCGUAUCGGA